CCUACGGGAGGCAGCAGUGGGGAAUAUUGGACAAUGGGCGAAAGCCUGAUCCAGCAAUGCCGCGUGAGUGAUGAAGGCCUUCGGGUCGUAAAGCUCUUUUACCAGGGAUGAUAAUGACAGUACCUGGAGAAUAAGCUCCGGCUAACUCCGUGCCAGCAGCCGCGGUAAUACGGAGGGAGCUAGCGUUGUUCGGAAUUACUGGGCGUAAAGAGUACGUAGGCGGUUAUUCAAGUCAGAGGUGAAAGCCCGGGGCUCAACCCCGGAACUGCCUUUGAAACUAGAUAACUAGAGUCUUGGAGAGGUUAGUGGAAUUCCGAGUGUAGAGGUGAAAUUCGUAGAUAUUCGGAAGAACACCAGUGGCGAAGGCGACUAACUGGACAAGUACUGACGCUGAGGUACGAAAGCGUGGGGAGCAAACAGGAUUAGAUACCCUGGUAGUCCACGCCGUAAACGAUGAUAACUAGUUGUUCGGUCACUUGGUGACUGAGUGACGCAGCUAACGCAUUAAGUUAUCCGCCUGGGGAGUACGGUCGCAAGNUUAAAACUCAAAGGAAUUGACGGCUGNGAGNGCGAGCGACACGAGGAGAG
This 588-nucleotide ribosomal RNA is filed under the name uncultured bacterium. RNAcentral describes it as "bacterial SSU rRNA". It matches the Rfam family "Bacterial small subunit ribosomal RNA", at positions 338 to 943 of the family's 1533-position model. The record is from RNAcentral.